AGUGGCUCAGUAUUGAACGCUGGCGGCAGGCCUAACACAUGCAAGUCGAGCGGAUGACAGGAGCUUGCUCCUGAAUUCAGCGGCGGACGGGUGAGUAAUGCCUAGGAUCUGCCUGGUAGUGGGGGACAACGUUUCGAAAGGAACGCUAAUACCGCAUACGUCCUACGGGAGAAAGCAGGGGACCUUCGGGCCUUGCGCUAUCAGAUGAGCCUAGGUCGGAUUAGCUAGUUGGUGAGGUAAUGGCUCACCAAGGCGACGAUCCGUAACUGGUCUGAGAGGAUGAUCAGUCACACUGGAACUGAGACACGGUCCAGACUCCUACGGGAGGCAGCAGUGGGGAAUAUUGGACAAUGGGCGAAAGCCUGAUCCAGCCAUGCCGCGUGUGUGAAGAAGGUCUUCGGAUUGUAAAGCACUUUAAGUUGGGAGGAAGGGCAUUAACCUAAUACGUUAGUGUUUUGACGUUACCGACAGAAUAAGCACCGGCUAACUCUGUG
This 494-nucleotide ribosomal RNA is filed under the name uncultured bacterium. RNAcentral describes it as "bacterial SSU rRNA". It matches the Rfam family "Bacterial small subunit ribosomal RNA", at positions 18 to 507 of the family's 1533-position model. The record is from RNAcentral.